CAAUUAUAUCCCUUGCAAGGCACCAUCUGCAAGAGCUGAGAAUGACUAAGGCAGGGAAACUAAUGUUUGCUGAAAUAUAAUUAUUUCAAUAAGAAAGGUCCAGAAAGUUGAUCCCCAUAAGAAGAAACGCCAUGGCGAGCCAAAAUAGGACCACCCGCCGCUAGGCUAUGUAAUUCCAGUUUCUGAAGAGCCAGCAGCAUAUCAAAAUCAGAGUUGUUGGGAGAAUAAUUGAAUUGUGCAGAAGAACAAAUUGAGCAGAGAGUGAUCAUGCAAACGCAGGUCAGCAAGAAGACGAGUGGCUCCCGUUAGGCACUGUAAUCCCAAUUUCUGGACAGCCAGCAAAAUAUCCAAAUCAGAAUUUGUACCGUACAGUGCAAACCAAGAAACUAAAUUAGGAGGGAUUGACAUAUUAUCCAAACGCAGAUCGUGUAUUCCAUCCUAUAUAGCUUGAUAAGAGAUAGAAAGCUUGAUCAUCCGAGAAAAUCUGACCAUAUCAGAAUAACCGUUGGACUGUAACCAAUCAAUCAGAAUAACCAUGAACAGAAGUGAAACCUCGCCCCUUCAUCUAUAUCGUCUGACCAGAACUAGCGCCCGCUCAAUUGGUUCUGCAUCUAGGACGAGAGCAGAGCACAUACAGCAAAAGCUAGAUCAGCCGGCACAGCAAGAAUCCACGAGGGUCUCGAAUUCACCUCGUAUUAACAUCACGACGAGGGCGCUCGAUCGGGGACAUGGAACCGGAAGGCCCUUCAAUUCAAUUCAAAUCUGAAACCACCGACGAGACGAGCGCAGGCAGGUGACGGGACCAAGGAACCGAUCGGACCGAGCACGAGAAACUGACCUUGCUCCGGCCCUGGGGUCGCCCGAAACCAAAUCAGCCGCAGAAGCAAAACCGAACGGCUCGACGGAAUCCCCGGUCGAUCGCUCCCCGGAGGCGGACGAGACGGGCCGAAUUCCCUGCGAGCACAGGGAGCAGAGGCGACGAGGGAUUCGAAACGAAUCGAGACGACGAGAGAAAGGAAAGGGAACAAUCGCGGAGACGCGAUGAGGCGACUUGGGCGAGAGCAGAGGCGCGGCCCGAACGAAAGCUCAAAGGAGGCCAGAGCGCGGGGAGGAGAGGGCGCACCUGGGGCGCCUUUUGUAGCCGGGGCAGAGGCGGUGGGGGAGGCCUGGCGGCUGGCGCCAACCGAUUCCUUUCCUUACCGGACACGGCUUCGC
This 1215-nucleotide long non-coding RNA is filed under the name Triticum aestivum (bread wheat). Its description in RNAcentral is "long non-coding RNA (TAES_LNC020099)". The record is from RNAcentral. Lineage: Eukaryota; Viridiplantae; Streptophyta; Magnoliopsida; Poales; Poaceae.